This 960-nucleotide ribosomal RNA is filed under the name Vibrio harveyi. RNAcentral describes it as "bacterial SSU rRNA". It matches the Rfam family "Bacterial small subunit ribosomal RNA", at positions 60 to 1016 of the family's 1533-position model. The record is from RNAcentral. Lineage: Bacteria; Pseudomonadati; Pseudomonadota; Gammaproteobacteria; Vibrionales; Vibrionaceae.
AGUUAUCUGAACCUUCGGGGGACGAUAACGGCGUCGAGCGGCGGACGGGUGAGUAAUGCCUAGGAAAUUGCCCUGGUGUGGGGGAUAACCAUUGGAAACGAUGGCUAAUACCGCAUAAUACCUACGGGUCAAAGAGGGGGACCUUCGGGCCUCUCGCGUCAGGAUAUGCCUAGGUGGGAUUAGCUAGUUGGUGAGGUAAUGGCUCACCAAGGCGACGAUCCCUAGCUGGUCUGAGAGGAUGAUCAGCCACACUGGAACUGAGACACGGUCCAGACUCCUACGGGAGGCAGCAGUGGGGAAUAUUGCACAAUGGGCGCAAGCCUGAUGCAGCCAUGCCGCGUGUGUGAAGAAGGCCUUCGGGUUGUAAAGCACUUUCAGUCGUGAGGAAGGUAGUGUAGUUAAUAGCUGCAUUAUUUGACGUUAGCGACAGAAGAAGCACCGGCUAACUCCGUGCCAGCAGCCGCGGUAAUACGGAGGGUGCGAGCGUUAAUCGGAAUUACUGGGCGUAAAGCGCAUGCAGGUGGUUUGUUAAGUCAGAUGUGAAAGCCCGGGGCUCAACCUCGGAAUAGCAUUUGAAACUGGCAGACUAGAGUACUGUAGAGGGGGGUAGAAUUUCAGGUGUAGCGGUGAAAUGCGUAGAGAUCUGAAGGAAUACCGGUGGCGAAGGCGGCCCCCUGGACAGAUACUGACACUCAGAUGCGAAAGCGUGGGGAGCAAACAGGAUUAGAUACCCUGGUAGUCCACGCCGUAAACGAUGUCUACUUGGAGGUUGUGGCCUUGAGCCGUGGCUUUCGGAGCUAACGCGUUAAGUAGACCGCCUGGGGAGUACGGUCGCAAGAUUAAAACUCAAAUGAAUUGACGGGGGCCCGCACAAGCGGUGGAGCAUGUGGUUUAAUUCGAUGCAACGCGAGAACCUUACCUACUCUUGACAUCCAGAGACAUUCCAGAGAUGGAUUGUGC